CCUACGGGAGGCAGCAGUGAGGAAUUUUGCGCAAUGGGGGAAACCCUGACGCAGCAACGCCGUGUGAGUGAAGAAGGCCUUCGGGUCGUAAAGCUCUGUCAAGGGGGAAAAAAUCCUUUCGAUCAAUAGUCAUUAAGGACUGAUGGUACCCCUAGAGGAAGCACCGGCUAACUCCGUGCCAGCAGCCGCGGUAAUACGGAGGGUGCAAGCGUUGUUCGGAAUUACUGGGCGUAAAGAGCGUGUAGGCGGUUUGGCAAGUCAGAUGUGAAAGCCCUGGGCUCAACCCAGGAAGUGCAUUUGAAACUGCCAUCCUAGAGUAUGGGAGAGGAGAGUGGAAUUCCCAGUGUAGAGGUGAAAUUCGUAGAUAUUGGGAGGAACACCCGUGGCGAAGGCGACUCUCUGGACCAAUACUGACGCUGAGACGCGAAAGCGUGGGGAGCAAACAGGAUUAGAUACCCUGGUAGUCCACGCCGUAAACGAUGAGAACUAGGUGUAGCGGGUAUUGACCCCUGCUGUGCCGUAGCUAACGCAUUAAGUUCUCCGCCUGGGGAGUACGGUCGCAAGGCUAAAACUCAAAGGAAUUGACGG
RNAcentral lists this ribosomal RNA (588 nucleotides) under uncultured delta proteobacterium. Its description in RNAcentral is "bacterial SSU rRNA". It matches the Rfam family "Bacterial small subunit ribosomal RNA", at positions 338 to 916 of the family's 1533-position model. The record is from RNAcentral. Lineage: Bacteria; Deltaproteobacteria.